This 253-nucleotide ribosomal RNA is filed under the name uncultured bacterium. RNAcentral's name for it is "partial 16S ribosomal RNA". It matches the Rfam family "Bacterial small subunit ribosomal RNA", at positions 524 to 776 of the family's 1533-position model. The record is from RNAcentral.
UACGGAGGGUGCGNGCGUUAAUCGGAAUUACUGGGCGUAAAGCGCGCGUAGGCGGUUUGUUAAGUCGGAUGUGAAAGCCCCGGGCUCAACCUGGGAACUGCACCCGAUACUGGCCGACUUGAGUGCGAGAGAGGGAGGUAGAAUUCCAUGUGUAGCAGUGAAAUGCGUAGAUAUAUGGAGGAAUACCGGUGGCGAAGGCGGCCUCCUGGCUCGACACUGACGCUGAGGUGCGAAAGCGUGGGUAGCAAACAGG